This 14217-nucleotide long non-coding RNA is filed under the name Medicago truncatula (barrel medic). RNAcentral describes it as "long non-coding RNA (MTRU_LNC000803)". The record is from RNAcentral. Lineage: Eukaryota; Viridiplantae; Streptophyta; Magnoliopsida; Fabales; Fabaceae.
AGAUGUUAAGUGGCACUAGUAGUGUUACAGUUCAUGAAGUUGUGAAAGACAAUGGUCAAGUAGUGGUUGCUAAAAAGAGUGCUUUGGAGACUCAGAGAGAAAUUACUGCGAUUUGGAAGAAGUUUGUGUUGGAUAGGAAGAAGCUGAAUGAUAAGAUGAAUGGUGUUUGCUAGAAUCAGCUUGGAAUGGAACAAGGGUGUGUCGUGUCUCUCUAUUUAUGCUUUUAUAGCUUCUUUUCUUGUUAAGGAAGUAAUUAAGUACAUUUUUAUUGAGUCAAGUCAUUUCUAUGAUUUUCAUGAUGAGUGGUUACAAGAAAAACAAAAUCAUGUUUAUACUUUAUAAGCAUGGCUUAAUUUAUUUAUGAAGAAUGAAUCAUUUAUCCUUUUGUGCAUUUUGUUCAAAUUAUGCUCAUAUCUUCUUUGUUUGCAAAACCAACAUAUACCACUGUCACUACACAUAAAUUAGAUUUGGAACAAUGAUAUAUGCUUAGUUCCAUGACUUUCCCAAGAUUAUCUGUAGCACUCAAUACCGGCAUCUUUCCUCAACAUGAUCUAGGCAAUUUCAUUUACAUAGAAAUGUUAAAUGUACUUCAUAAGCUAUGAACACUUGAGGUAUAGAUUGUAAAAACCCAAAACUUUUUCCAUCCAUUGGGCCUUAAAUUAUUUAUAUAGAAAUGUGCAUCAUAAGCUGCGAACACUUCAGGCUAAAGUGUAAAAACCCAAAACUUUUUCCGGCCAUUAAGUCUUAAUGGUCUGUUUAAUAGUCAGGAUAUGAAGACAUGAUAUGAUAAAAUACGAAAAAUAGAUAAACUAUUUAUUUGAACCUUGUAUGUUAUAUUGUCUGUUGUGUGGACUGUUUGGCAAUGUUGUUGAAUAUAAACACUUUAAACCGAAAUGAUGUCCAUAUAGGGAUGAAUAUAAACGUUUAUUUGAAGGGCAUGAUGAAAAUUUAAUUAAGGACAUCAUGACCUUCAAAUAAUCUAAGUGGAUAAAUAUGUUGAUCAAUGGUUUUUGUGACAAGUUAAUUAAGGGCAUCGUGAUCGUUAUUAACAUCUAAAGGUUGCUUAAUUAAAUGUGAGAUUAGUGUUAGUGGAUAUUGAUUUAUUAUAUAUCUAACGCGUUGUUGAUAUAGGAGGAGGCAAUAUUGGAUACUCACGUUCAAUCUUGUCCAUAAAAUUGACAAGAUAAAGAUUGUAUGUUCAACUUUUAUUAUUCCUGAAUCACUUUCAUGUUGAUUGGCAAUUAUUAUUUGUGAACUAUUUACUAAUCAUAUUAUUACAUGAAAAAUUAUUAUAUGCAUAUUUUUUUUGACAAAUUCAUUCAAAUUGAUAGAGUACAUCGAUAUAAUGCAAAUUUGCUAAAAAUAAAAAUGAUGAAUCUAUGAACAGGCUCACAACAUCCAUGUUAAUAGCAUAAAAUGACAAAAUACAAAUGCCUACACAUAUGACUAUAUUUAAAUCUCCAAAAUAAUCAUGUCUCCAGAUCUACAGCGUGGAUGACGCUAAAGCCAUUGAUUGGAUCUGCACUGGAUCAAAGCUGAUGACAAUCUGAACCGAUCAAAUACUUGAGAGAAACAAGAAAAACAAACAACGUCGCACAAAGACGACGAACAAACCAACGUCACACGAAGACGACGAAAUCACAAAAUAAAAAACAAAAUAGAUAUGAAAAUCACUUAUUUCAAUAAAAGGGAAAGAGAAAAACGAGUUAGAGGGAUGAUUUUGGCUAUUCUGCCACUGCUUCUCCUACUAUGCCAGUAAUAUACUCUAAACUCUAAAUUAUUUUCUUAAUCUUAGAUUAAUUGAAUUUAAUUGAGAUUUUAUGAUAAAGUUUAGUCUUAGAUUGAUCCUUCAGCAGAACACUAACUGAAAUGACAUCAAACUGUUAUAUUAUUGACUAAAUAAAAUAACUAAAUAAAAUAACUUUUUUCAAAAAGUUAAUUUCGUGACUGCAUCGUAGAAGUGCCAUUAGAAAAAUCCACCUUAUUCAAUCAAAGCAAUAUGUCUCGAGAUAUUUCCUACUCCGUAUUAUCAUCACUUACAAGAUAGAUCACAAUCACAACUAUACAAAUAUCAAAAUAGUAGAUACAAACUAUCACAUGCGGUUAAUUUACAAAUCAAAGCUCAAGAUCUCUCUCAAAGAAUACGAAUGAAAGUAUAGAGAAUUAAACGGAAAAAAUUAUUCUUACACAUUUAUUUGGUGUAUGAUCUUAUAAUUCAAAUGGAUUAUUUUUCUUUUUUUAGGAAAAGUUGCUUAUAGCAUUUUAUUAAAAUGAUCAAUAUCAAUAUCAAAAUAUAAAUAUAAAUAUGCAUAAAAACAACACUAUUUUCAUUUGAAACUUUUAACUAUAUAUGAUAACAACAUCACUUAAAAUUUGCAUCCGACCAUGGAGAUUUAGUUCUUUAGUCUAUACUAUUGUUCUUUAAAAACUAUUAAUAUGUGUUCAUUUUAAAUCACACCAUCAUUCACAUGAUAAACUAUUACUUUACGUAAUCAUAUUGACUUUAGGUAUAUGUAAUGAUCCUAAAUAGAGAAAGCCAUGUCAUCAAAUGAAGCUAGCAAAUUGGCAUAGCUGUAAGGACACGUGGGCAAGUAUUGGAUGAUAGAUGUACAUCAACAAGGAGUGAACAAGGCUUAUAUAAGGGAAAUAAGGCAUUGAAUAUGUUAAUGAAAUCCUUCUCUUAUUCUCUUUUCCCCUUUAUCCUUCUUUAUCUUUCAAUUUCACUUCUAUUAUGUACUUAAAAGAUUAUUGGGUUAAUAGGUCUUUAUCCCCUAUAAUAUAGGUCACUUUUGAUUUUGCCUUUGUAAAAAAAAAAAAUUCGAUUCGGUCCUUGCAAUUUUAUUUUUUUUUGGAAAACCCCCCUAGACCAGCUGACUGUGCAUUUUUGCUGAUAUGACAUGUUGUGUCAGCCUUUUUGGAUGACGUGGCGCGCUGACUGUAUAAUUAUUAUUAUUUUUUAAUUUUUUUAUGAGAUACACAUGGCAUUAAUGAUUAUUUUUAAAAAAGAAUAAAAAAAAUUCUUAAAAAAUUAAAAAAAACGAAAAAAUAUUAUAAAAAAAAUGAAAUAAAUUCUAGAAAAAUAAAAAUAUUAAUAAAAAUGAAAAAAAACGAAAAUAAUUAUGGAAAAAUUAAUAAAAAUCUGCUAAAUGAAAAAUAAUGAAAAAAUCUAGAAAAUUUCAUAAAAAAAUUCUGGAAUAAUUUAAAAAAUCUGGUAAAAUGAAAAAAAUAUAGAAAAUUUAAUAAAAUAAAAUCUGGAAAAAUUAAUAUAUUUCAAAAAAUUCAUAUUUUCAUAUUAUUUUCAAUAGAGGAAAAAUUUAAAAAUUAUGGAAAAAUAAAAAAAAUUCAUAUUUUUUUUUCCGAAAUUAAGAAGUUUUAUUUUAUAAAAAAACUAAAAAAUUCAGCAACUUAAAAUAUUUCAAAAUUUAAUCUAAUAAGAAUAGAAUUAAAAAUGAAAGUUCAAAUUUUUCUUUCGAAAUUAAAAAGUUUAUUUUUUUAUUUUUUAUACAGAAAAUCAAAAUAUUGGAGAGUAUAUUCAUAAUUAAAAAAACAUAACAUUAGAUCAUGAAGAAUAGAAUUUCGAUAUAUAUUAAUUUUUUUAUAUAAUUUUAAUUUAAUUCAGAUUUUUUUUAAUAAUUUUUUUGAAAAUUUUAAUAUAUAUUAAUUUUUUUUUAUUUUUCCAGAUUUUUUUUAUUAAAUUUUCUAGAUUUUACUAGAAUUUUUAAAUUUUUCCAGUUUUUUUUAUUUUUUCAUAAUUAUUUUCGUUUUUUAAUCAUUUUUAUUAAUAUUUUUAUUUUUCCAGAAUUUAUUUUAUUUUUAAAAAAAAUCAUAAAUGCCACUUGUACCCCAUAAAAAAAUAAAAAUAAUUAUACAGUCAGCGCGCCACUUCAUCCGAAAAAGGUGACGCAACAUGCCACAUCAGCAAAAAUGCACAGUCAGCUGGUCUAGGGGGGUUUUCCAAAACAAAAAAAUUUUACAAGGAUCGAAUCCAAAUUUUUUUUUUUACAGGAGGCAAAACCAAAAGUGACCUAUAUUACAGGGAGUAAAGGCCUAUUAACCCAGGAUUAUUUCUCUUGUGUUGCUUAGUUCUCUGAUCUAUUACAGUAUACAAGUUUUAUUUUAAAGUGGAAAAAUAGAUAAAUCACACUUUAGUGUAUAUCAUAAGAAAAAUUGUGAUUGGUUGGUUUAUAUAAUCAUGGAAAAAUCUACUAAAUUUAAGACAACACAUCAAAAUAAACAAUUAAUUUAAGACCUUCAUAAUUACUACAAUAGAUUUUUAUAAUUUUGUAGUGACGUGCUCGUUAUUUCAUAAUUUUUAAAGGCUAACAAAGCAUUCGAGGCUCUUUAAAAAAUUAAAAUGUAAGCAAAAUAAAAAUUAUAAGCGUGAAAAAAAUCAAAAGAGUAACAAUAUUAUUAUAUAAAUAAAAAAUUAUAGUCUUAGAAGUAAAACAAAAACUAUUUUAUACCUUAACAAUUAAAGCUAUUCAGAUAGACAAUAGAGUUAGAAAGAAAACAUGAUAUGCCUGAUAUACAAUAUCUUUAAAAUUACGACCAAAUUAGACGGUCUAAUUUUUUUUUUUGAAAGAAUCUAAAUAAUAUUUUUGUUUACUUAUUUGAUUGUAUUACCAUCAUAUUAGAGCACAAAGACAUAACUACAAUGUUAAAAAGAGAAAAUUCAAAUUAUUAGGUGUCAAUUCAAUAAUUAAAUGACAACUUAUGAAACACUCAUACAAGAUGUUUGUGCAUUCUCUUUCGUCUAAUACUAAAACAAUACUCAUGAGAGAAUAUAAUCUAUUGGAGCCUAUAUUUCAAUACACGUACAUCGAUUAUUUAUACACUUCGGUACAAGAAGAAUAGUUGGACACUUCACUGCUAUGCAAUCAUAAUCUAUUCUACAAAGUAACUUUGGUACAGCAAGACGUCGUGCUGUGAUGAAAUAAGAGACCAAAAGAAUGUAACUAAAUUGAGAUGAAGUGUUCUUUACAAAGUAAUUAGGGAAAUUUGAAAAGGAUAAAAAAUAAAUUACCUACAAUGUUUGUUGAAACAAAAAACAGGUAAACAAUAAAGAUAAUAACAUAUACUACAAACUUGGCAAUUUCACCCAUAUUCAUCCACCCUCCUUAUUCAUUUAACAAAUUGCUUUAUUACUUUAUAUAAUUUAUAAAGUUAAUCAUCUUCUUACAUCAAACAAAUAGUUUUUAGCGCUUUUGGAGUUGCAAAGAAAUAUAUCAUAAUAUUAAAAUCAUCAAUAAAUGUCUGUUAAAUACAUCAAUGUGAUAAGUUUUUUUCUUCUUCUUUUGCAUAUUUAAUAGAGCAGUCACAUAAAAAAUUUACCCGUCAUAAACUCUCAUUCUUUUUUAAACUAAUUUUUCAUUAUUAUUUUAUAGCCUAUCAUGACACGUAAAGGGAAAUCAUAAAAUAAUAAGUUAUUUGAUCAAUAACUAAUGCCAAAAUAAAAAAUAAUAAAAUGAAUCCACUUGAAUUAGCCUAGUGGUAUUAACUUGGGACCUUAGUGAGUACUCCUCCUCAAGGUCACAUGUUCGAUUCUCUUUAGUGUCAAUUUGGAUGGACUAAUUUAACUUCUUAAAACAAAUGUCAAAAUAAGUAUAUAUCGUCCAUAUUUCUGUUUGCAUCGAUAAAAAUAAUAAAAAAAGUGUAAAAUAAAAUUAUUUGAUCGAUAAAAAUGACAAAAAAUAUUAAGUAUUGAAAAAAAAACUAAAAUCCAACAUUUAGUAAGGAAAACACUUCAUUAGAGUUUAUAAACAGGGACAUCCAUCAUCUUACACAAAUCAACUUUGUAAAGAUGAGUUAGAUGAAGAAUUUUAAACAAAUAAUCAAAUUUAUAGAUAUGAAAUAUAGCAUGUUAUUAAUUAGUAUAUUGACAUAUAACCGUGUACCUUGUAUGGUUGAAGGAGAUCAUGAAGAAUUGGAAGUGACUUUUGAGAAUGGUUUUGAGAGCUCUUCUGCCGCCUUACUUAUCGAGCAUUCUUUCAGUUUACAGUGUGGCUAACAUAAUGGGAUAGUUAGCUUAUAUACUCAUCAGUGGAGACAGGGACCUCUCAAAUGGGCUGACUAACAAGAAUGGUCCAACCCAUCACGGUCCGUUCACAAUAAGCCCAAUAUAAAUACCAAGUACAAUAACAUUAAAUAUUUAAUAAUAUAUAAUACAUUUAUAUUUUAAUAAUUAAUUAAAGUAAAUUCAAAAUAUUCAACAUUAGAUUUAUAAAAAAACUAAUAUUUAGCGAAGAUUAAUAAUGAAAUAAGUUCAUGAAGAAUUUGAGAAAUACAAUGGUCAAGUAGUGUUUGGUAAAAAGAGUCUUUUGGAGACUCAGAGAGAAAUCAUUGCGAUUUGGAAGAAGUUUGUGUUGGAGAGGAAGAAAUUGAAUGAUAAGAUGAAUGGUGUUUGCUAGAAUUAGCUUGGAAUGGAACAAGGGUGUGCCGUGUCUCUCUAUUUAUGCUUUUAUAAUUUCUUUUCUUGUUAAGAAAGUAAUUAAAUACAUUUUUAUUGAGUCAAGUCAUUUCUAUGAUUCUCAUGAUGAGUGGUUACAAGAAAAACAAAAUCAUGUUUAUACUUUAUAAGCAUGGUUUAAUUUAUUUAUGAAGAGUGAAUCAUUUAUCCUUUUGUGGUUUUGUUCAAAUUAUGCUCUCAAGGGUACAUUCUUAGUUCCAUGACUUUCUUAAGAUCAUAUGUAGCGCUCAAUAUCAAUAUCUUUCCUCAACAAGAUUCAGAGAAUUUCAUUUAUAUAGAAAAGUACAUCAUAAGCUACGAACAAUUGAGGCUAAAUUGUAAAAAUCCAAAACUUUUUCCAGCCAUUAGGCCUUAUAUAUAUUUUGAUUUGAUAUGAGAAACAUCGCCCUUUACAAAUACUAAUUGUAUCUAAAAUAAACAGAAAAGAGGCGUUGCAACACUUGAUUUUUUGUUAUCCCUUUUAAAAGCUUGUAAACUAUUAUAAUACUUGCAAGUUUACAAGCUUUUAUACUAGUUUACUAUCCCUCUUAUACUAGUUUACAAACUUUUAACAGGGAUACACAAACAAUCAAAUGCCGCAACGCCUCUUUCCUUUUUAUUUUAGAACAAUCAGUAUUUGUAAAGGGAAACCAUGUUGUGAUUUAUAUGUGCAAAUGAUGCUGCCACUUUGUGCAUGUAAGUAUUUAUUGUCAGGGACCUUAGUGACAAUAAGUGUUUACUGUCAGGGAUCUAAUUGAAAGUCUUCCGCAACCACAAAACAGCUUCAUGGAGGAAGAUGACCCAGUUCUUGACGAAGAACAACAUUUCAUUGGGACGAGUUUAAGAAUAUUGAUUUUCGGUUCAGGGAUCAAAGUGACAAUUUUCUACUUUCAAUUCAGUCCCUCCAACAUCUAUACUUCAUGUCAUCAUAAAAUAUUUGCCACAUCAACAGUUAACAAAAUUAUUUAAUGUCAUGAACUAAAGUGAUAAUGAAAGUGCAUAUUCAAUGACUACUUUGUAAUUAAUCCUAAGAUAGAGACUUUUGUGACCGAGGUGCAAAAUGAAGGAUCAAAGUGAUCAUUUACUCAAAAGAAAAUAGUACUCACUCAUGCUUUGAAAAAAUCUACAUAGAAAAGGAUAUGCAGUGGAUUAGGAAAAAACAGAAAGUGAUAUUUCGAAUCUCUUUUGGGAAACUACCCUUCUAUUGUCUAUUGUCCAGCUUUGAUAAUAUGGUUUAUUGUACCACCAUUUGAUAUAAUUAUAAUCAAGUUUUUUUGGCCUAACUCGUUUACAAUUGCUAAAAAUUAAAAUAUCUCUAAUUCUUAAUUAUUGUCAAAAAAUAUUUUCAAAAAAAAAAAAAAAGGAAAAAAUAAUAGGUACGUACCUCACCUAUAAAUCUUAUAUGAUGUCACAUUAUUGAUCUUGUUCUAGCAUCUAUCAUAGAAAAAGCAACAUAAUCCGCAUAAUAAGGUGGCCGUAAAUUAAACCUUUUAUUUAAUUUUUAUGAGUAAUUCAUUAAAGACCUUCCUCAAUACUAUAAUCAGACCAAAUUUUUUAUUAAAUGCUAAUCACAUUGCAUAAUCAACACUCUAAUUCAUGUGGCCCAUUUAUUAUUUUCAUUUUAUUACAUUGACUAAUUAAUGUAAGGUUAGGUAGGUGGGUAUUUUCAGAGCUUAGAAGGGGCCCAUGACAAUAAUUUAGUGAAAUACAGUGGUCUUUUUGUUCACAUAUAUGAAAGUUCCAUUAACUUCUGUGUACUAGAAAGAUUCAUCACACAAUUGCUUGCUUGUGUUUUCACUUCCUUUCCUCCAUGGAAUUGGACAUUGGAAUCACUCAUUCAGAUUUAACUCUUGGUAUUUUUGAUAUCCUUUUCACUUGCUGAUUUAUUUCUUUUUAUUUUUUUCAUUCUGCUUUUUCUUUGACCAAGAAUAUUCUACUAGAUGACACUUGGCACCACUAUGAUCUAAUUCUACUUGUUUGUGAUCUUGGUCUAUAUUUAGAUUGAUAGUGAAUCUUGUAGAAUCACACUUUGCCAUCAUGAUUUUGAGAAAAGUCACACUUUGAAACUUCAAUAGAAUUACAAUGUCGUUAUUUUGCCAAACUCAUCUCUGUUGCAUAGACACAAUUCUGAUUGAAGGUGUGUCUCGGUGUACGACACAUAUUUUGUUUCCUAUACCGACAUGACACCCAUAUUUGUGAUUACAGUGAAUUAUGUCAAUUUUUUGAAAAAUUAUCUAUAUCCGGUGCCGUGUCUGCGUCCGUCCUUCAUAGAAACUCAGUAUAUGUUUGCUUAUUUUGUCUCUAUGGUGUUUCUACAGCUGAGUCUUGGUUUGCAGCUGAUACAUCUAGUGGAUAUCUUGAAGAUGCAAUCAAUGGCUGGGAUAUUUGGUGCAAGCAACAUAACUUACCAACCUACUCUCAAGAUCAAAAGGUUAAACUAACAACUAUGCUUGGUUUCAUGUUCUAUACAUUUGCUUAAUUGUUAUUUCAUAGUUUUAUUUGUCAAUUAUGUUGAAACUUUAUAAGAUAUAUUAAUUAUUAACAAAAAGCCAAUGUUUGGUUGAUCAGGAACCUCUAUUUCCAACAUUUUCUUCCAAAGCAGCCCAAUUACUUCAAGGUAUGUAUAUAUACCCUUGUGGAAUGUGGUUGCAUCACUUUCAAUCAUGUAUUACUAGAUUUGGAAAAUCAAUCAUUUGAAAAUAAUUUUGGUUAUUUAUCUAGUCCAAUUUAUCAUCUCUGUUUCUUGUUUACUGAUUCAGCAGCUAACAUUUCUAAGGAGUCAAGAAUUUGCAAUAAAUGACCAACCUAACAUUUUAACUUUAGGCUAUUAUUUCUAAUUUUGGUAGUAUUGAAAGUAAUUGAACUAUAUCCACCACUGACACUGUAAAUUAUAUCUUUACAGACCAUAAAAAAUUCAGCACUAUGAACCUAUCAUCAUCACAAAAUCAUACACAUUCAGCUGCAGAAAAACAUGAUUCACCUCACAGAAGUUGUGCAUCAAGAGAAUUAAAAGAAAACGGUGCUUCUAUUUCAAGUACAAAAUUCUUUUACUGUUUUAACACAAGAACAUUUUCUUGAACCAUCAUUUCAUGUCUCUUUUCUAAAGUAAUUUUUUAUGACUAAAAUGUGUCCUUUUGUACCAUUAUGUUUUGAUGUAACUAGGGGGACAGUGGAAGAAAAUAGCUUAUCCAUUUGAGUUGGUGAAACCUGGAGGAGUUGAAGGGGAAACAACAAUUAAAGAUAUAAACCACCAAAUGAUGAUGAGUCCUUCAAAGCCAAUUCCACAUCCUGUGGCUGUAGAAGAUUAUGGGACUCAUUCAUGUAUUUCAAACCGUGGUUAUGGUAUUUCAGGAAAAGAAGUGGCAGCACUUACUAGAAUUCAAACUAGGGGUAGAGGCUCCAUUACCAUUAUUAGGACCAAAGGUUGAAUUAAAGUGAAGGCUAUUUCACUAGUGCAUGUUUAGGGUUAGAGUUAGUUUCAUGAAAUUACGGUAACAACAUAAUUUUAAUGAAAUUUUACGGUGUAGCUUUUACUAAAAUUACGGUGGCACACCAUGAUUGUGCCGAACUCGUGGAUGAUCUAAACAUACUUUUGUUAGUAUGUUCUUAAUUUUUGUAUCAUAGUAAGCCUUCAUAGUUUAUACCAAAUAUGCAUAAAUGUAAUGAGAUGAAAAUAGUCAAAAAUGUUUGUUGUAGUAUAAAAGUUAGUUUGAAAUUUCCCCCAGCCAGUGAUUGAAUUUAAAAUAUUUGUCUUUGGAAUUUUGUCAAGAUAGAGAGCUAGCAUAUUUCAUUUCAACUAACCAGCCACAAUAGAUCAGGUCAAAGAUGCAAAUUCAAAGAGUUGGUCAGUAGUCCAAUCACUUAUAACUUUUACGAUAAAAAUAUAAUUUAAAUGCUCUUUUUGUCCCUUAACUAAAAAAAAGAUUGUUUUAGGAUUUUAAGUUUUUUCUUAGUCUCGUUUUGGUCCCUCCUGUUAGGUUUCCGUUAGGGUUUUAAAAAAAAUUAACUCCUGGACACGUGUCACCUUGUCAUUGGCUCUGAGUUUUUUUUUUUUUUUUUUUUUUUUUACAAAAAAAAACUACUAUUUUUUUAAAAAAAAUCCCAAAGCCAAUGACAAAGUGACACGUGUCACCUUGUCAUUGGUUCUGGGAAUUUUUUACAAAAAAAUAAAAUAUAUAUAUUAAAAAAAAUUAUUUUUUUUUAUAAAAAAAAUUAUAAUUUUUUUUUGUAAAAAAAAAAAAAACUUAGAGCCAAUGACAAGGUGACACAUGUCCACACUUAACGUUUUUUUUUUUAAAACUAACGGAAACCUAACCGAAGGGACCAAAACGAGACUAAAAAAAAACUUAAAAUCCUCAAAGAAUCUUUUUUUUUAGUUAAGGGACCAAAGCAAUACCAAUUAAAUAGUUAAGGGACCAAAAGAGCAUUUAAGCCUAAAAAUAUUAAGCAAAUUGUUAAAAAAAAUCAUAAAAUAAUUGACAACCAAAUUUAUAUGGAUUCAAUAAAUUUGCUAUUAUAUAGUGUAAUUGGAUAAAUUUAAAAGGCCACUUAGGACACUUAUUAAAGAAGAAAAAAAGUUUAAAAUUGGAAAACAUAAUUUUUGUUGAAGGCUGAAAUAUGCAUUUCAUCCCUGUAAUUAUAGGCCAUUUGAUUUUUCAUUCCUGAGCUUACUAAUCCUUCCGUUUUGCCCCUGUAAAAAUUAAUCAUUUAAAAUUUCGUCCCUCUUCCCGAUUAAUCACUGCCACGUCAUUAAAUUAGCAAAAUGACAUGAGAAUUGACAAAAAUACCCUCAUCUUCAAUUUUUCAGGCUCUUAACCUUAUUUUCAUUUCUCACUAAACCUUCAUCUUCAUCAUUUUUCUUCUGCAAAACCCUAGCCCUUCUUUUCACCUUCAACUUCAUCAAUGGCGUCACGAUCCUCUCCCCAAACUCCACCACUCCUCUCACCUCAAAGGAAAAAUCCCGAUCCGCCCUCUGUCUCCUCAAAACUCCUCCGAUUCAUCCUCCCAACAAUAACAAGAUCCCCCUUCGCGCUCGCCUUCACCGGAAUCGCCGCGGUGCUUGCAAUUGCGUAACCUCGUUAUCGCCUUCAUCUUUGAACAUCCCUGUGCAAGUGCCACCCCAAAGAAACCAACAAUGAAACGACGUAACAAGGGCAAGUUAGAGACAAAAGCAACAACAUAGAAGUUGAAGAAUAUGGAUUGGAAAUGGUGAAUUAAGGUUCUGGGAUUGUAAACACUACAGAUUGGAAAUGGUGAAUUAAGGUAAUGGGAAUUGGGAAUUAGGAAAACUUAGAAUUAGAAUUGGAAAUUGAAAACACACCACGAAGAAGAAUCGGAUUGGAAUCAGAAUUGGAAAUUGAAAACAUACAAGUUCUUUGGAUGUUGUUUCUUUGUUUCUUUGAUUGAGGGGUGGUAGAAGAAGAGUAUGAAGGAGAGAAGAAAACAGUUACGGUGGUGGAAGAGAAGAAGGAUGAAGAAGAUGAUGAGGGUAUUUUUGUCAAUUCCCAUGUCAUUUUGCUAAUUUGAUGACGUGACAGUGAUUAAUCGGGAAGAGGGACAAAAUUUUAAAUAAUUAAUUUUUACAGGGGCGAAAUGGGAGGAUUAGUAAGCUCAGGGAUGAAAAAUCAAAUGGCCUAUAAUUACAGGGAUGAAAUGCAUAUUUAAGCCUUUUUUAAAAGGUUGAUUGUAAAUUUUCUAACAUAAUAUUUUUAUAUUUUUUUCCUCAGCCAAUGUCUUAAGCCUAAAGACACUCAUUAACAUAUUUCAAUUUUAAAAUAUCCAUUUUGGCGAUACUCAAGAUGGACCAAUAUAGUUGAUAAUUUUAAAAUAUCAAAACUUUUAUCAUAAGUGUCUUGCUUUUAUGCAUGCCUUUUAGGAGGUGGUGAGAAAAUUAGGAAAAUAAAUUGGAUUAAAUGAGACAAUUUUUGUUUGGAUAAGGAGGCAGAUGGGUUGGGUAUGAGGAGGAUGUGAGAGUCUAAUAUAACUUUUUGUUCAGCAAGUAGUGCUGGAGGAUGCAGACGGAGCCGAAUAGUUUAAAACGUUAGGGGUUAAAUAUGGUAUUGGUUGGGUGUGUGUGUGUGUGUGUGUGGGGGGGGGGGGGAGGGAAAGAGGGCACGUGGAUUCAUCAUGGUGGAUGGAGGUUGGCGGAAUUAGACGAGAGAAUAUGUUUGAAAUGGGAAGUUGGUUUGAAUGACAAUUUGGUGAGAGUGGUUGGAGGGACUAAAACGUUUUGCUAGUCAAAUAUGUGGUUGGAACCAGGGGCAAUAUAUCAUAGGUUCUGUCGCCUUUUUGAUUUGGUGGAGAACCAGUUAGGGUUAGAUGUUAAUAAGUAGUUUAGGUUGAGGAGUAGGAAGAGAUGCUUGGUAUUGGCGUCAUUGGUUACUACCAUGGGGUGGGGGUGUUGAGGUGGGUUAGUGUUGUUGAUUGUUGUGUAAUUAUUUUGUAAGAGUGGUUGGAUAACACGUGGGAUUGGUAGCUAGACCUGGUAAAGGAUAUGCAGUUCAUGGGGUAUACAAUAUCUUGACAAAUGUUGAUGAGCUGUCUCAGUCUAAAUUCACAAACAUAUCAUGGCAAAAGGCAACUCCUUUAAUGGUGACGUUGUUUGGUUGACAGAUGUUACAAAAAUGGAUUCCUACUAAAGAUAACUUGCGGCGGCGACUGAUAUUAACGCAAAAUAAUAUUCUUUGUUCGGAUGGGUGUGACAUGUAGGAGAUUUUUAAUCAUCUUUUUCUUAGUUGUUCGUUCUUCGACGAUCUUUGGCAUUUGGUUCUACAAUGAUUUGUCAUGCAUUACGUUUGUCCAUACAUUAUUUCUGAGCAUGUUAUUCAAUUCCUUAAUUUAGGAAGGUUUCCAAAGAUAAUUAUGUCUUCUUUGAAUCUAAUAUGGUUAGCCACGAUGUGGAUUAUUUGGAAGGAGAACUCUCUAACUUUUCAACUAUAACAUGUUUCAAUUAAAUUUGGGACAACAUUCUUAUUCACUCUUCUUAUUGGUAAAAAAUAAUAAUGAGAAAAAGAGAGUAAGCACACAAUAAGAGUAUAAAAUAGAAAGUUGUUUAAAAAUUGUAUAAAAUAAUUAUACAAAUAUUAUUUUUCAAACGAUAAACCCCAGAGGAAACCAAAACCAAAAGACCCCCCUCUUACAAAGAGAAAAGACUAUCUCAAUAAAGAAUCUCUUAAAUUCCAACACCUUUCAUAGAUAGACAAGUUGGAAUCUUUAAUCUACUCAAGCUUCAUUGUCAAGACAACAUUUUAAUCUCUUCCACCAUAUCUUCAAUCACCUUGGAAUCGUUAUUAAAAAUAAUGUCAUUUGUAGAAUUCCAAAUCACCCAAAUAAACCCAUGUCAAACUAAACAAAAUCCCUUUCAGAACUUCUUAUUCCACACUUCCACAUUCCAACAUUCAAAGUGCAUAAAUAAAUUAUAACAAAUUCAUAUAAUUGUUUUUAAAGAGAAUUCAUAUAAUAUUAGUUUUCAAUUGAUGUUCAACUUGCCUAUAUAAACGUAAAAAAAGAACAUGCCUAUAUAAUAAUAGCUUUUAUAUAUAUAUAAAAAAAAAAAAAAAAAAAUCUACCCAAAAAAAAAAAAAAAAAAAAAAAAAACUUGUUAUAUAAAUUAACAGAGUAUUGAAUAUGCAUUUUUCAUGCAUUUUGUCUUGUCCAACGCUGAAUCACAGAAAAUAUGUUGGAGAAUCAUUCAACGGGCGAUAUGUGGUAUAUCAUACUAAUAGUCAAAGUUGAUGCAUCAUAUAGCACCAACCAAACAUGUUCAAAAAAAU